RNAcentral lists this ribosomal RNA (429 nucleotides) under Chloroflexota bacterium. RNAcentral's name for it is "Chloroflexi bacterium partial 16S ribosomal RNA". It matches the Rfam family "Bacterial small subunit ribosomal RNA", at positions 355 to 776 of the family's 1533-position model. The record is from RNAcentral. Lineage: Bacteria; Bacillati; Chloroflexota.
UGGGGAAUAUUGCACAAUGGGCGCAAGCCUGAUGCAGCCAUGCCGCGUGUAUGAAGAAGGCCUUCGGGUUGUAAAGUACUUUCAGUCGGGAGGAAGGUGGUAAGGUUAAUAACCUUAUCAAUUGACGUUACCGACAGAAGAAGCACCGGCUAACUCCGUGCCAGCAGUCGCGGUAAUACGGAGGGUGCAAGCGUUAAUCGGAAUUACUGGGCGUAAAGCGCACGCAGGCGGUUGAUUGAGUCAGAUGUGAAAUCCCCGGGCUUAACCCGGGAAUUGCAUCUGAUACUGGUCAGCUAGAGUCUUGUAGAGGGGGGUAGAAUUCCAUGUGUAGCGGUGAAAUGCGUAGAGAUGUGGAGGAAUACCGGUGGCGAAGGCGGCCCCCUGGACAAAGACUGACGCUCAGGUGCGAAAGCGUGGGGAGCAAACAGG